Long non-coding RNA from Mus musculus (house mouse), 2130 nucleotides. RefSeq annotates it as predicted gene, 40064. NCBI's taxonomy places the organism in Eukaryota, Metazoa, Chordata, Mammalia, Rodentia, Muridae. The record is from RefSeq and is a predicted model, not a curated record. The transcript is spliced from 6 exons.
UCUUGAGGAAACUGAUUGAACACAAAUGUCACUGCCUAAUGGUAGUAGAUUGAGAGGAGAAAGCUAUCAGACCUGUCUGGGCAGAUUUUCUGGCUGGCGGUUUCCAAGUUCUUCCUAACACCCCUGGCUGACAGCUUUAGAGCCUGGAGGAGCACAUGGUACACAGGAGCCACUUUUCAAGUCUUUGGCCAAUGAAUCGUGAGUCCUGGACAAUUGGAGAAAGACAUUCUACCAAGGCUGCUGAUGCAGUAACAGCUUCUGGACACUCUGAGAGGGAGGAAGCAGAGGACUGGGAAUCAAAGCCUGACCCCAAAAUGCAUACCACAACCUGGUGUUGGCACCAGUAAAAGCUGUGUCUCAUAAAAGAACUGUGAAGACAGGACCAGAAGUGGUGACCUUAAAACAGGACUCCCAUGGAGAGAAAGCAGAAAGACAAUGGAAAUGCUGGGGUGAUUUCCAAACUUAAACCAUAAAGACCAUGCUGUCAUUUGCAACAGCACAGAUAAAUCCAGAGACAUUAUAUUAAUCACAGUAAGCCAGACACAGAAAGAUGGAUGCUUCAUGACUUCACUGGCAUGCUGCAUGAUUUAAGUCUGAAACGAUCUUUACAGGUCAUCUGCUGAAGAAGAUCAGCAAGUGCAUGGUGUCAGGGACAGUACCUUUCCUUCAUCAUCUAUAAUAAAUAUCUCUUCAUGGCCAUCUUCUUGAAUCAUCCAGUUCUCAUCGCACCACGGAAGUAUUCACCCAUCUAGAGAGAUGUGCAAUCCUCAUCUGUCAGUGUUCCCUCCCACAUCAGUACAUCUUCCAGUUUUCUUGGCUGUUAUUCCCGGAUACAACUCCCUGUUUUGCCUUUUCAUUGUGGAAGUUUUUCCUGCUUUAUAUUUUUGGAAUGGAAGACUCCAGAGACUGACCUUGUACAGGAUCAAAUGACUGACUAGCUAGCUGGUGGAUCUCACCUCCUUUAGCUGCAUUCACUGAUAUAUCACGAGGAGGUAUUUGCAUGCACACAUAUAUUGAUAGAAACCAAUAACAGUAAUAGGUAGCUUCUAACACUGCAGAGAAGUGCCUUGUAUUGUAUGCCAUUAGAAAAGAAAAUGGGUAUAUGUCUGCCAUAAAAAUUGUUCACAUGUUCACUCAACAAGCUCUUUAAGUGUUCACUCUGUGCUAAGAGUUGGGCUAGUAGUUGAAGUUAAGAUGCAUAAAAGUUUAUCAUCUGUUUUAAAACCUACCUGACUGCAUGAUCACAGAGAGCCAUUUACACAUUCACUUUGCUGCUUUUAAGUCAGCUAUAACCUUAAUGGCUAUUAAAAUGCUACCUAAGUCCAGUAUUGAGGAUUCUGUGGAGAGAAGCUUAAGGCAAAGAACUUGAUGGCAUUAGAGUUAGGCAAUAAAGAUCAAAUGAAUGGAGGAUUUCAGACCAGAGAAAGAAGAGCAUGAAGGGAAGGUAACUCAUGUGAAUAGAGCCCAGAAAUCCUGGUACUCUGUAUGUGCUGGGUGUGAAGUAGUGGUGGAUAGAGUCACCAAGAACCUUCAAGGCUAUACAAGCUUUGAAGAAGUUGUUGAGGCUGGCAAGGUAAACUGGAACCCUAAAGACCUGUAAAUGUCUUGCCCAGGUCUUGGGGCUUAUAUAGGCAACAGGGAGUAUAAAUGGAUAAGCUCUGGAGUCCUGAAAAGUCUUCUUCAUGGCUGUGUAGAAAAGAGGAGAGACACAGAAGAAGCCUGAGAGGAGCUCAGUAAUCCAGCCAGAAAUCAUGGAUCUCUAAGAAGACUUCUGUAGCUUUACAGAGAAAGAGAUGGGUUUAAUGGAAAUUAAGUGGGGUUAGAAUUGUCAACCCAAAAGACAAUUCUGGAAAUGGCUAACAACUUUCACAGUCCAGAAUACAAGGAAAGGAUGAUCAAGACUUCAGUUUGGGUGACAUUGAGAUUGCAAAAUAUCCAGACUGAUCAAUAUUGCUUUUGGGUUUGUGAUUUGUUUUGUUUUGUUUUGUGUGUGUGUGUCUGUCUGUCUGUCUGUUUGGCUGUUUGCAGGUGCAGAAAUGAAGUCAGAGAAAAACUUGCAGGCAUUGAUUCUAUCUUUCUACCAUGUGAGUCCAGAGAUUGAACUUUAGGUUGUUAGGCUGGGCAGCCACA